GAUGAACGCUGGCGGCGUGCCUAAUACAUGCCAGUCGAGCGAACAGACGAGGAGCUUGCUCCUCUGACGUUAGCGGCGGACGGGUGAGUAACACGUGGAUAACCUACCUAUAAGACUGGGAUAACUUCGGGAAACCGGAGCUAAUACCGGAUAAUAUAUUGAACCGCAUGGUUCAAUAGUGAAAGACGGUUUUGCUGUCACUUAUAGAUGGAUCCGCGCCGCAUUAGCUAGUUGGUAAGGUAACGGCUUACCAAGGCAACGAUGCGUAGCCGACCUGAGAGGGUGAUCGGCCACACUGGAACUGAGACACGGUCCAGACUCCUACGGGAGGCAGCAGUAGGGAAUCUUCCGCAAUGGGCGAAAGCCUGACGGAGCAACGCCGCGUGAGUGAUGAAGGUCUUCGGAUCGUAAAACUCUGUUAUUAGGGAAGAACAAAUGUGUAAGUAACUAUGCACGUCUUGACGGUACCUAAACAGAAAGCCACGGCUAACUACGUG
This 497-nucleotide ribosomal RNA is filed under the name uncultured bacterium. RNAcentral describes it as "partial 16S ribosomal RNA". It matches the Rfam family "Bacterial small subunit ribosomal RNA", at positions 28 to 507 of the family's 1533-position model. The record is from RNAcentral.